Lycium ferocissimum is the source of this 384-nucleotide long non-coding RNA. RefSeq lists it as uncharacterized. The transcript is spliced from 2 exons. NCBI's taxonomy places the organism in Eukaryota, Viridiplantae, Streptophyta, Magnoliopsida, Solanales, Solanaceae. The record is from RefSeq and is a predicted model, not a curated record.
CGGAUGAUGAUGAGACUCACGUGCCAAACACACAAAGGCAUGUUUGAAUGUUAAUGUUUUGGUGGAUUUGUGGAUUGUGUAAGUGUUUUGUGGAUGUUUGCGAGGAGUGAAGUAGUCUAAUGUUGUAGACUAACUUAGUGUAGACUAAUUUAAUGUUUUGUGGAUGUUUGCAAAGGUUGAAGUAGCUUAAUGUCUCUUGUGAAUGUUUGAAUGACGUUUUGAUUCAACUUUGAAGUAAAUUCGAAUUGAAUUUGAUGUAUUGGUGGUUGUAAUAUAUGUGUUUGUUGAAGUAGCUUAACGUUUUAUGUAUUUGUAGUAGUUUGGUGAAUUGUUGGCAGCUAUUUGAGCUGAUUUUAGUUGAAUAUAAAAUUGUUUUCAUCUUGA